Myotis lucifugus (little brown bat) is the source of this 639-nucleotide long non-coding RNA. RefSeq lists it as uncharacterized. The record is from RefSeq and is a predicted model, not a curated record. Lineage: Eukaryota; Metazoa; Chordata; Mammalia; Chiroptera; Vespertilionidae. The transcript has 3 exons.
GGCGCCGCGGGCGGGGCGGCAGCCUAGAGCGGCCCCGGAGAGCGAAAACGGAACUGCAGGUGACUUCGGAACCCAGCCGCCUCUGAAGGGAGGGCGGCCCCCAUGAGGACUGGUGCAGGCUUUUCACGAGAUAUCGGUUUUGUUUUCACGGCGCAGAGAGAAUUUCAUAUCCAUGAAGGCUGGGACUACUUUGUGCACUGCUGUAUCAUCAACAUCCCAACAUCUAAAAUACUUCUGGGCACAUACUAGGUUCUCAAUAAAUAUUUGCUGAAUGAAUGAAUGAGCCAAUGAGGAAGAUAAGCUGCUAGAUUGAGAAAAAAACAAUGGCUGUGAUAUGGAAAUCAAGGAAGUAUUUUAAGGAGGAAAGUGCUCAGUAGAUGUGCCAUGGAAAUGGCCAUGGAUCUGGCUGGAAACGAUACAACUGAUUGACUCUGUAUGCUCUGGAGUCUCCAUCCUCUGACCUAUCCACUGAUGCUCAGAUGCCCCAUCCUCUCACCCCCUUUAAAGGUGGAUGUGGCUCUAACCGGUUUGGCUCAGUGGAUAGAGCGUUGGCCUGCAGACUCAAGGGUCCCAGGUUUGAUUCCUGUCAAGGGCAUGUACCUUGGUUACGGGCACAUCCCCAGUGGGGGGUGUGCAGGA